RNAcentral lists this ribosomal RNA (467 nucleotides) under uncultured bacterium. RNAcentral's name for it is "partial 16S ribosomal RNA". It matches the Rfam family "Bacterial small subunit ribosomal RNA", at positions 27 to 506 of the family's 1533-position model. The record is from RNAcentral.
GGACGAACGCUGGCGGCGUGCUUAACACAUGCAAGUCGAACGAUGAAGCCCAGCUUGCUGGGUGGAAGAGUGGCGAACGGGUGAGUAACACGUGAGUAACCUGCCCUGAACUCUGGGAUAAGCACUGGAAACGGUGUCUAAUACUGGAUACGACCUAUCACCGCAUGGUGUGUGGGUGGAAAGAUUUAUCGGUUCUGGAUGGACUCGCGGCCUAUCAGCUAGAUGGUGAGGUAAUGGCUCACCAUGGCGACGACGGGUAGCCGGCCUGAGAGGGUGACCGGCCACACUGGGACUGAGACACGGCCCAGACUCCUACGGGAGGCAGCAGUGGGGAAUAUUGCACAAUGGGCGCAAGCCUGAUGCAGCAACGCCGCGUGAGGGAUGACGGCCUUCGGGUUGUAAACCUCUUUUAGUAGGGAAGAAGCGAAAGUGACGGUACCUGCAGAAAAAGCACCGGCUAACUACGU